Molecule: long non-coding RNA, 227 nt
Filed under: Elaeis guineensis (African oil palm)
Lineage: Eukaryota; Viridiplantae; Streptophyta; Magnoliopsida; Arecales; Arecaceae
Description: long non-coding RNA (EGUI_LNC002982)
Source: RNAcentral
GCUGUGGGAUCCCAACAAUUGCGAUCAUUUGCAACGAUCAUGCCAAGAUGAUAUCAACAAUUUUAAAUGUCGAACAUUCAUAAAAGCAUAAAAGCGUGCAUCCCCAGAUUCAAGGUAUGACUUUCGAAAUAUUCCUUUCGUCUGAUUCUCAGACUCAAAAACUGGGGCUAGUGUUACGAUGGUUAUCGUGAGUACCUCAGAUUAGCAUGCCAACCAUGGGAUAUCUC